This 430-nucleotide ribosomal RNA is filed under the name uncultured bacterium. RNAcentral's name for it is "bacterial SSU rRNA". It matches the Rfam family "Bacterial small subunit ribosomal RNA", at positions 355 to 776 of the family's 1533-position model. The record is from RNAcentral.
UGAGGAAUAUUGCGCAAUGGGGGAAACCCUGACGCAGCGACGCCGCGUGAGUGAUGAAGGCCUUCGGGUUGUAAAGCUCUGUCAGAGGGGAAGAAAGGAGAAGUAGCUAAUAUCUGCUUCUAUUGACGGUACCCUUGGAGGAAGCACCGGCUAACUCCGUGCCAGCAGCCGCGGUAAUACGGAGGGUGCAAGUGUUAUUCGGAUUUACUGGGCGUAAAGAGCACGUAGGCGGAUAGGUCAGUCAGAUGUGAAAGCCCGGAGCUUAACUCCGGAACUGCAUUUGAUACUACUUGUCUUGAGUAUGGUAGAGGGGGGUGGAAUUCCCGGUGUAGAGGUGAAAUUCGUAGAUAUCGGGAGGAACACCAGAGGCGAAGGCGACCCCCUGGGCCAUAACUGACGCUGAGGUGCGAAAGCGUGGGGAGCAAACAGG